GAUGAACGCUGGCGGCGUGCCUAAUACAUGCAAGUCGAGCGAAUGGAUUAAGAGCUUGCUCUUAUGAAGUUAGCGGCGGACGGGUGAGUAACACGUGGGUAACCUGCCCAUAAGACUGGGAUAACUCCGGGAAACCGGGGCUAAUACCGGAUAACAUUUUGAACCGCAUGGUUCGAAAUUGAAAGGCGGCUUCGGCUGUCGCUUAUGGGUGGACCCGCGUCGCAUUAGCUAGUUGGUGAGGUAACGGCUCACCAAGGCAACGAUGCGUAGCCGACCUGAGAGGGUGCACGGCCACCCUGGGACUGAGACACGGCCCAGACUCCUACGGGAGGCAGCAGUAGGGAAUCUUCCGCAAUGGACGAAAGUCUGACGGAGCAACGCCGCGUGAGUGAUGAAGGCUUUCGGGUCGUAAAACUCUGUUGUUAGGGAAGAACAAGUGCUAGUUGAAUAAGCUGACACCUUGACGGUACCUAACCAGAAAGCCACGGCUAACUACGUGCCAGCAGCCGCCGUAA
This 515-nucleotide ribosomal RNA is filed under the name uncultured bacterium. Its description in RNAcentral is "partial 16S ribosomal RNA". It matches the Rfam family "Bacterial small subunit ribosomal RNA", at positions 28 to 523 of the family's 1533-position model. The record is from RNAcentral.